AGUGCUGUCAAUCAAUCUAUUGCUGCUAAGCUAUUUCUCACUGCUAAGCUAUCGCCACUGUUAAUCUAUCUAUUGCUGCAAGCUAUCUCUCACUGCUAAGUUAUCACUGUCAAUCUAUCUAUUGCUGUCAAUCUAUCUAUUGCUGUCAAUUUAUCUACUAUUGUCAAUCUAUCUAUUGCUGUCAAUCUAUCUAUUGCUGUUAAUCUAUCAUCACUGUCAAUCUAUUUCUCACUGUUAAGCUAUCUCUCACUGCUAAGCUAUCACUGUCAAUCUAUCACUGCUAAUCUAUCACUGUCAAAUUGUCAAUCUAUCUACCACAGUAAAUCUAUCUAUCACUGUCAAUUUAUCUACCACUGUC
RNAcentral lists this small RNA (358 nucleotides) under Histoplasma ohiense. RNAcentral's name for it is "hypothetical lncRNA". Lineage: Eukaryota; Fungi; Ascomycota; Eurotiomycetes; Onygenales; Ajellomycetaceae. The record is from RNAcentral.